This is an RNA transcript of Jaculus jaculus (lesser Egyptian jerboa), 4205 nucleotides long. It is a transcript of the gene named endosome-lysosome associated apoptosis and autophagy regulator family member 2, with no coding region annotated. The transcript has 23 exons. The record is from RefSeq and is a predicted model, not a curated record. NCBI's taxonomy places the organism in Eukaryota, Metazoa, Chordata, Mammalia, Rodentia, Dipodidae.
AUGCUGCUGCUCGCCCUGCAGCCGGCGCGGGGCCGGGGCUGGGGGCGCUCGGCCGGGGGUCCCUGGAGCCCCGCCUGGCUUUGCUGCUGGGCGCUCGCCGGCUGCCAGGCAGCCUGGGCUGGGGACUCGCCCUCUUCCGGCCGCCCGCUUCCUCCGUGCCAGGAGAAAGAUUACCACUUUGAAUAUACCGAAUGUGAUAGCAGUGGCUCCAGGUGGAGGGUUGCCGUUCCAAAUUCUGCAGUGGAUUGCUCUGGCCUUCCUGACCCAGUGAGAGGCAAAGAAUGCACUUUCUCCUGUGCUUCAGGAGAGUAUCUAGAAAUGAAGAACCAGGUAUGCAGCAAGUGUGCUGAAGGCACCUACUCCCUGGGCAGUGGCAUCAAAUUUGAUGAAUGGGAUGAGUUGCCAGCAGGAUUUUCCAACGUUGCAACAUUCAUGGACACUGUGGUGGUCCCUUCUGAUAGCAGACCAGAUGGCUGUAACAACUCUUCUUGGAUUCCUCGUGGAAACUACAUAGAGUCUAAUCGUGAUGAUUGCACGGUGUCUCUGAUCUAUGCUGUGCACCUUAAGAAGUCAGGUUAUGUCUUCUUUGAGUACCAGUAUGUGGACAACAACAUCUUCUUUGAGUUCUUUAUUCAAAAUGAUCAGUGCCAGGAAAUGGAUGCCACCACUGACAAGUGGGUAAAACUCACAGACAAUGGAGAAUGGGGCUCCCAUUCUGUAAUGCUGAAAUCAGGCACCAACAUCCUCUACUGGAGAACUACUGGCAUCCUCAUGGGUUCCAAGGCAGUCAAGCCAGUGCUGGUAAAAAACAUCACCAUUGAAGGGGUGGCAUACACCUCAGAAUGUUUUCCAUGUAAGCCAGGCACUUUCAGCAGCAAGCCAGGUUCAUUUAAUUGUCAAGUAUGUCCCAGAAACACCUAUUCUGAGAAGGGAGCCAAAGAAUGCAUACAGUGUAAAGAGGACUCCCAAUUUUCAGAGGAGGGAGCCAGUGUGUGUGUGGAGCGCCCACCCUGCACCACCAAAGACUACUUCCAGAUCCACACUCCAUGUGAUGAAGAGGGAAAGACACAGAUAAUGUACAAGUGGAUAGAGCCCAAAAUCUGCAGGGAGGAUGUGAUGGAGGCUACUAGGCUGCCCCCUUCUGGAGAGAAGAAGGAUUGUCCACCUUGCAACCCAGGAUUUUAUAACAAUGGGUCAUCCUCUUGUCACCCCUGCCCUCCUGGGACGUUUUCAGAUGGAACAAAGGAGUGCCAGCCCUGUCCAGCAGGAACAGAGCCAGCACUUGGGUUUGAAUAUAAAUGGUGGAAUGUCCUUCCUAACAACAUGAAAACUUCCUGCUUCAAUGUAGGGAAUUCAAAGUGCGAUGGAAUGAAUGGUUGGGAAGUGGCCGGAGAUCAUAUCCAGAGUGGAGCUGGUGGCUCUGAUAAUGAUUACCUAAUCUUGAGCUUACACAUUCCAGGAUUUAAACCACCAACAUCUAUGACUGGAGCUACAGGUUCUGAACUUGGAAGAAUAACAUUUGUCUUUGAGACCCUCUGCUCAGCUGACUGUGUUCUUUACUUCAUGGUGGAUAUUAACAGAAAAAGUACCAAUGUGGUGGAAUCAUGGGGUGGAACAAAAGAAAAGCAAGCAUAUACCCACAUCAUCUUCAAGAAUGCAACGUUUACAUUUACAUGGGCAUUUCAAAGAACAAAUCAAGGUCAAGAUAACAGACGUUUCAUCAAUGAUGUGGUGAAGAUUUAUUCUAUCAUAGCCACCAACGCUGUGGAUGGGGUGGCAUCUUCAUGCCGUGCCUGUGCCCUUGGUUCUGAACAGUUGGGCUCAUCCUGUGUCCCCUGCCCCCCAGGCUACUACAUUGAGAAGAAAACCAACCAAUGCAAGGAAUGUCUAGCUGAUACCUAUCUAUCCAUACAUCAAGUCUAUGGCAAGGAGGCUUGUAUUCCCUGUGGGCCUGGAAGUAAAAGCACUCAAGACCACUCAGUUUGCUACAGUGACUGCUUUUUCUACCAUGAAAAAGAAAACCAGAGUUUACACUAUGACUUUAGCAACCUCAGCAGUGUGGGCUCACUGAUGAAUGGUCCCAGCUUUACCUCCAAAGGAACGAAAUAUUUCCACUUCUUUAAUAUCAGUUUGUGUGGGCAUGAGGGGAAGAAGAUGGCUCUCUGUACCAACAACAUAUCAGACUUUACAGUAAAGGAAAUGGUAGCAGGGUCAGAUGAUUAUACAAGUUUGGCUGGAGCAUUUGUAUGCCAGUCAACGAUUAUUCCUUCUGAGAGUAAGGGUUUCCGAGCAGCCUUGUCAUCUCAGUCCAUCAUCCUGGCAGACACAUUUUUAGGAGUAACAGUUGAAACUACUUUGCAAAAUAUUAAUAUCAAAGAAGAUAUGUUUCCAGUUUCUCCAAACCAAUUACCAGACGUGCAUUUCUUUUAUAAGUCUUCCACAACCACAACAUCUUGUAUCAAUGGCCGAUCAACAGCUGUGAAAAUGAGGUGUAAUCCUUCAAAACUUGGUGCAGGUGUGAUUUCAGUCCCCAGCAAGUGUCCAGCAGGUACCUGUGAUGGAUGUGCUUUCUAUUUCCUGUGGGAGAGUGCUGAAGCUUGCCCUCUGUGCACGGAGCAUGACUUCCAUGAGAUUGAAGGUGCCUGCAAGAGAGGACUGCAGGAAACCUUAUAUGUAUGGAAUGAACCUAAAUGGUGCAUAAAAGGAAUUACUUUGCCUGAGAAAAAGUUGUCGACCUGUGAAACUGUUGACUUUUGGCUUAAAGUAGGAGCAGGAGUGGGAGCUUUCACAGCUGUCUUGUUGGUGGCUCUAACUUGCUACUUCUGGAAAAAGAAUCAAAAAUUGGAGUACAAAUAUUCCAAAUUAGUAAUGACAACUAACUCAAAAGAAUGUGAACUCCCAGCUGCAGACAGCUGUGCCAUCAUGGAAGGAGAAGAUAAUGAAGAGGAUGUUGUAUAUUCCAAUAAGCAGUCACUACUAGGAAAACUCAAAUCUUUGGCAACAAAGGAUAAAGAUCACUUUGAAUCUGUUCAGCUGAAAUCCUCAAGAGUUCCCAAUAUAUGAAAGGACACUGGAUGCUUUAGCCUUCAGACUCAUGUCAAAGAAGCCUGCUGUCUAGUUUUAAAGACCAUGUGCUAAGGGUUGUCAUCACACCUGCCACAUUUGUGAUCUCACAGAGUAGGGCCAAUGCUGUUGAAAAUGGAAGGAUGUAGACGUGCUGAUUGCCUUACCUAUGGUCAAGUACCGUGUCAAACAAAGGAAAACAGAUGAUUUGGGUCUCAACUGAAGAAGAAGCUUAACUCAGGAAGAGAUUUAUCUGUAUAUACACGUAACUGAAACCCAGUUUAAGCCCACCAGUGCACUGCUGAUGCAUGGCAUAUAACUAAUGGAAUACUGCCAUGCCUUUUCUAUCUUGACCAAACUUUACCCAGAAGAAUGAAAAUACAUUUGAAGUGCACCUGUUUGAGACCCUGGCAAAGUUGUAGUGACUGGACAGAGUAAGAAAUUCUCUUCUGUCACCUGCCACCUCUCUCUUCAUCUUCUGCUGUUCUCAACAUGUAUGUUCCAAGCCAUAGAGAUAAUUGGGAUUUGCUCCCAGGUAGCUUCUUUCUCCUCUUGUCACCGGAUGAAAAUCUCUGACAUGUCAAAAAUGCCUUAAAUUUUAAUGACCUCUCUGAAAAUGUAGUUUAUAUUGAAGAAUUUAUUUUAUUUCUAAUUUAAGAUUUUGAAUUGAUUUUUGUCAGCUCAGCCCCUUCUUUAGAAAGGAACUUCCUUUUUCCUUGGAUUCCAGUGGCUUGUCAUUUUAUUACUAGAGCUGAAGUAAUAUUACAGAGAGGAUAUUAUAAGGAGAUAUUCAAACCAAUUCCAACUGGAAAGUUCAGUUUAUUUUUACAUUUGGCCUUUAUAAAACUUAUAGAAAUGUUGACAGGUAUAAACAAAUUCACUAUAUUUCUGUGACUUUUAACCAACAUUUGUUCCUCAAAAGUCAUACUUUGAAGCUUCAGUACUUCAUUAAGUCAAGCCUGUAAUAGCUCUUAGCACUUUGUCAAAACCUAUUUAAAUCACUUUCUAACUGGGUGAGGGCAUGUUGUCUAUGGACAAGUGAUAUCAUGCCAUUUAGUAAUGUUGAACAAUUUUGAUAUGUGUUCCCUUGAUUUAAAAGACUGAAUUUUACUAUCACUGAUUUCUCACUAAUAAUCAUAUCC